Molecule: long non-coding RNA, 808 nt
Organism: Erinaceus europaeus (western European hedgehog)
Lineage: Eukaryota; Metazoa; Chordata; Mammalia; Eulipotyphla; Erinaceidae
Exons: 3
Source: RefSeq, a predicted model, not a curated record
GCCAAGAACCAGAAGUCUCCAGACAGAAGCUCUGGUGGACAGCCAGCCCAAGGUGUGCCCUGCUGAGCAUCUGCAUCUUCAUAGAAAUCUACUUGCCCUCCAACACUUCAAAACCAGGUGAUUUCAUUGCUUUUUAAAAAGUAGGAUUUUGAGGGUAGGGGUAGGGGAACGGCACAGAACUUUGGUUGUGGGUAUGGUGUCGAGCUAAACCCCAUAUAAUGUUUUAGUCUUGUAAACAAUUAUUAAAUCACUCAAAGUUUUUUUUUUUUUUUUUUUUUUAAUUACUGCCCAAAAGGGAAGAAAAGAGGUCUAGUUUCUCUUGGGAUAAAGUCACACCUGGCUGCCGCCACGGCUGGAGGACAGAAACUUGUCUUGCAAUUCGAGUCUCUGCAGUGCAAGUCUGUGGUGCUUCGUGAAGAGCAGGGAGAAACAGGAAAGUCGCCCAGAAGCUUCUUGCUGCCUGCAUGAUGCGUGUGAGGGUCUACAUUUCCCAAGCUCUUGGAAAGAAUCAAGAGAAGCAGAAAAGGAUCAGGGCCAGAAGCCUCGAAGGUUGUCAGUCUAGCAGAUAACACUGCCCCGGGAACCAUGGGAGCAGAACUACCUGGUGGGGACCACCCUUGAAGCCACUUAUUUCACUGAAGUUCUCUUCUCUGAGGAAUGUCUCCACUCAAGUUCCAUCCCGAAGUGCUCUGUUGCAUUCUUUCCUCUGUGGGGAUGAAUGAGAAGUCAGCUUGACACCUUGGACAGGUAAAAGCAAUGCUUCUUCCUGAGUUGGGCAGUGGUCUGAAUUCUGCCUCUGAAUCCUAAA